This is a long non-coding RNA of Gopherus flavomarginatus (Mexican gopher tortoise), 2307 nucleotides long. RefSeq lists it as uncharacterized. Lineage: Eukaryota; Metazoa; Chordata; Testudines; Testudinidae. The transcript has 2 exons. The record is from RefSeq and is a predicted model, not a curated record.
GGGAGGGCUGCUUUCGGCCCCAGCUGGCUGUGAAGGAAAAAAUAUAGACAGAGGCGAAGCAAAGGAAAUACAAGUUACAGAACUGAAAUUACAUUUGCAAAGCUUAACUGUCCAGUAAGAUCCAACAGAGUGCCUUUGUGACCCUGGAGUCGGUGUGGCUUGGUGACACCAAAGAAGCCACAGGCAGCCGACCUGGACUGGAAUCUCUGAAGGAGACGCCGCAGGAGAUUCCAGGGUGUAAGAGAACAGCCCUCCCAAGAGCAGAAGCAUGUUGGAAAUUCUGGACAAGCUGUAUACAGGAUAAUCUCCCUUCCACCUCUCCCCCUCCUCUGAACAUUAUACACAGAAGUGGCCAGUCUGAACAUAAUCAGAGAAAACUGAUGCCAGCUAAACAGCAUUCAACUUACCAUGCAUUUACUAGCACAAUAGAAAUUAUGUUUUGUGUUCUAUGUUCUGUCUUGUGGUGUUUGUCUUGUGGCUGGAAUUUUUGUGUUUAAUAUUUUUAUAAAAUAGUCUAGUUUAAAAUCAAAUAUAAAGGUUAAAUUAAAAUGCACGUACUUGUUUUGUUCAACUUGGAAUACAAAGUGUUUAGAUAAAUCAGGAAAAUGUGAUAUAUUAAAGUCUAAUGCAUUUCCUUAAGUAAGGAAAAGAAACUUUAUUGGUCAAAUUGUUAAUUGCAAAAAUUGUUGCUAAAAUUUGCAUACCAACAGUCUUUGAAAGCAAAGACAUGAAAAGUUAACCCACUCCCCAUAUUGUACAUGGGAUCUUUCUGGCUACCUCAGAUUUCUAGCCAGAGGGCUGGGGAUGGUGGAAGGCUAUUGGACUAGAGGUUGUAUUGAGUGAACUCCUCAAAGUGGGUGUGCUUGUCCUGGCUUGUUGCUCGAAAGCUCUGUAAUAAGGUUAUUUUAGUAAAAGGUUAUGUGUGGCAUAUAUUGAAUAAUAAGACUAAUGUACUGUAUAAUGACAAUGUGUAGGUGUUCAUUGUUGGGAAAAAGGUGUAUAAGUAAAAAGUGAAAGUUUCCUUUGCAGGUUAAAAGAAGCCAGGAAGGAAAGAAGGACAAAGAACAGAAUGAAUUAACUGAAAAAAAUAAAAUAAAAUAAAAUAGCAAGCUCAGGCUAUAGAUAAGACACUGACUCCAUUCAAGGACACUACUCACAGUUAAGACUUGGUUAACAACCAGGAAAAGGAGAGCUUGAAUUUGCCCAUGCAGCUAUGAGAUCUGAAAAACACUGCCAGGCACUAAUGAAAUGUGUUAAGUUUCUUUUCUCACAGGUAAGGAAUCGCUACCCAAAGACCCUAGCAGCCCUGCCACUCCUUACAACCAGGAGACAGGAUUGAUAUAAAGGUCCACCAACGAAAGACUGCCUUGGCUCCAUGCUGGAAAGGCUCUUAAGUCCUGAUGACUACCAACACCGCUGUGAAGUGCCAAAGACUGACUGCUUGGACCCAAGAUUCUCAGUGCAAAAAGACCCCUCCACAUUGGGAGAAUUCUCCUACUGAUGAUUAGCCUAUUUCACCUUCUAGCUCCACUGUGCCUUCUGGACAGUAGGAAAAAAGUACAAGGUGAAGUGCUAGUAACCUCUCUCUUAUCCACUGACAGAUCUACUGUGCCUUUGAAUUUUUCUAAAAAAAGCAAAACCAUUACAGGGUGAUGUGCUAGUAACCUCUCCCCUAUAUGAUGCUGCACCACGACUGUUUUGGGAAAGAAGAAGAAACACUCACUCCACUGAAAUUGCUAAAGUCCAGGAAUUCCUGACUAGAAAGGACAUUAAGAACUGACCCUGGUGAAGAAACAAAGAAUUGUACACUGGCAGAAAAAAUUUGUGGGACCCAUGCUUGGGAAUGUGGUAUUGAUUGGAUUUUGGGGUAUAUUCUACAGGCUGUGCCCUGUGUUCUGGAUAAAUUCUUCAGCAUGUAUUGGAUUUUAAAUAACAAGUACCCGAAGAGUUUGUUCUGCCACUGGAAAUUUUACCUGUACUGAAACCAUUCCAGUGACUAAUAAUGUAACCCCCUCCUAUGCUAUUAAUGUCAAUGCCUUUUAAAAGUACCUAAAAAUAGUUAAAUAACAAAUGUAAUAUAGUACUACACCAAGGAAAGAUGGUAUUAAAUAUCACUGAGGCUGGGAAGGCAUUGCAGUGGGAUCUAGUAUGUUUGGAGAUUCAGAAUUUCCUGAAUGACCAGCUGAUGGCCAUUCGGAGUGAUCUUGAGUACCAGACUUGGCCCACUGCCCUUACAGACACAUCAGGAGUACCAUCUGAUCUGUGGUCAUGGAGAUAUACUAAAGACUUUCUGGGUGGAAGUGUAAA